AUGGCGAUGCUUCGUGAUGUUUGGAUGCCAAGCAGCCAAUGCUAUUUCACAGGGCCACUUUGUCCGUCUUUUGAGUCGGAAAAUUUUGAGCUAAAGCCUGGUCUUAUUGCUUUGGUUCAACAACAUCAGUUUGGAGGGUUGCCUACUGAAGAUCCUUACGAGCACUUGCUCCGAGUCCUGGAGUAUUCAGAUACAGUAAAGUACCAUGGAGUUCCUCAAGAUGUUAUCAAGUGCAUGCUAUUCACAUUCUGUCUCCGAGAUGAUGCUCGUGCUUGGUAUCGAUCCUUGCCAUCAAGAUCACUUGGUUGGAACGAGAUAUCACGAGCUUUCUUGGAUAAAUAUUUCCCACUACACAAGCAGUCUGCAAUUCGAGAUGAGAUCUUCAAUUUCGUCCAGCGUGAAGGUGAGAGCUUGUAUGAUGCUUGGAAGAGAUACAAAACCUUAUUCAGGAGAUGUCCUAAUCAUGGGCUCGAGAGAUGGUUAGAGCUGUAG
Molecule: ribosomal RNA, 492 nt
Filed under: Triticum aestivum (bread wheat)
Lineage: Eukaryota; Viridiplantae; Streptophyta; Magnoliopsida; Poales; Poaceae
Description: partial small subunit ribosomal RNA
Source: RNAcentral